GAUGAACGCUGGCGGCGUGCCUAAUACAUGCAAGUCGAGCGAACAGACGAGGAGCUUGCUCCUCUGACGUUAGCGGCGGACGGGGAGUAACACGUGGAUAACCUACCUAUAAGACUGGGAUAACUUCGGGAAACCGGAGCUAAUACCGGAUAAUAUAUUGAAACGCAUGGGUCAAUAGUGAAAGACGGUUUUGCUGUCACUUAUAGAUGGAUCCGCGCCGCAUUAGCUAGUUGGUAAGGUAACGGCUUACCAAGGCGACGAUGCGUAGCCGACCUGAGAGGGUGAUCGGCCACACUGGAACUGAGACACGGUCCAGACUCCUACGGGAGGCAGCAGUAGGGAAUCUUCCGCAAUGGGCGAAAGCCUGACGGAGCAACGCCGCGUGAGUGAUGAAGGUCUUCGGAUCGUAAAACUCUGUUAUUAGGGAAGAACAAAUGUGUAAGUAACUAUGCACGUCUUGACGGUACCUAAUCAGAAAGCCACGGCUAACUACGUG
RNAcentral lists this ribosomal RNA (496 nucleotides) under uncultured bacterium. RNAcentral's name for it is "partial 16S ribosomal RNA". It matches the Rfam family "Bacterial small subunit ribosomal RNA", at positions 28 to 507 of the family's 1533-position model. The record is from RNAcentral.